CGGUGGUUAGUAUAACUGGAAAAUACCUCUGAAUACGAAUCAGGGUAAUGUGGGUUCGAAUCCUUCACCACCGGCCA
This 77-nucleotide transfer RNA is filed under the name Parcubacteria group bacterium ADurb.Bin216. RNAcentral describes it as "tRNA-Arg". It matches the Rfam family "tRNA". Rfam says of the family: Transfer RNA (tRNA) molecules are approximately 80 nucleotides in length. Their secondary structure includes four short double-helical elements and three loops (D, anti-codon, and T loops). The record is from RNAcentral.